This 253-nucleotide ribosomal RNA is filed under the name uncultured bacterium. Its description in RNAcentral is "partial 16S ribosomal RNA". It matches the Rfam family "Bacterial small subunit ribosomal RNA", at positions 524 to 776 of the family's 1533-position model. The record is from RNAcentral.
UACGGGGGGAGCAAGCGUUGUUCGGAUUUACUGGGCGUAAAGGGCGCGUAGGCGGCGCAACAAGUCACUUGUGAAAUCUCCGGGCUUAACUCAGAACGGCCAAGUGAUACUGCAGUGCUAGAGUGUGGAAGGGGCAAUCGGAAUUCUUGGUGUAGCGGUGAAAUGCGUAGAUAUCAAGAGGAACACCUGAGGUGAAGACGGGUUGCUGGGCCAACACUGACGCUGAUGCGCGAAAGCCAGGGGAGCAAACGGG